RNAcentral lists this ribosomal RNA (472 nucleotides) under uncultured candidate division WS6 bacterium. RNAcentral describes it as "bacterial SSU rRNA". It matches the Rfam family "Bacterial small subunit ribosomal RNA", at positions 898 to 1382 of the family's 1533-position model. The record is from RNAcentral.
AACUUAAAUGAAUUGACGGGGACCCGCACAAGCGGAGGAGCGCGUGGUUUAAUUUCGAUGGCAAUCGAAGAACCUUACCAGGGUUUGACAUGUAUCUGCAUAUCUUUGGAAACAGAGAUAGCCUUCGAGGGUGAUACACAGGUACUGCAUGGCCGUCGUCAGCUCGUGUCGUGAGAUGUAGGGUUAAGUCCCGAAACGAGCGCAACCCCUAUCCCAUGUUACAAGUGUCUUGGGAAACUGCCUCGGUAAAACGGGGAGGAAGGUGGGGAUGACGUCUGGUCCGCAUAGCCCUUAUGACCAGGGCUACACACGUACUACAAUGGCAGGUACAAAGGGCAGCCACUUAGCGAUAAGGCGCGAAUCCCGUAAAACCUGUCUCAGUCCGGAUUGGAGUCUGCAACUCGACUCCAUGAAGUUGGAAUCGCUAGUAAUCGCAGAUCAGCACGCUGCGGUGAAUACGUUCCCGGGCCUU